UUAAGGCACGCGGGUGAAUGC
Molecule: microRNA, 21 nt
Filed under: Mus musculus (house mouse)
Lineage: Eukaryota; Metazoa; Chordata; Mammalia; Rodentia; Muridae
Description: microRNA miR-124b
Source: RNAcentral